This is a non-coding RNA of Ciona intestinalis (vase tunicate), 284 nucleotides long. Lineage: Eukaryota; Metazoa; Chordata; Ascidiacea; Phlebobranchia; Cionidae. The record is from RefSeq and is a predicted model, not a curated record.
UUUAUUUUCAUCUUCUUCAAGUAAGCAAAGAUAAAUCAUCAUGAAUCGCAAAGUUCUUCUUCUCCUCGUCUUGGUUCUCGUCACCGUUCAGCUUUCGAGUGCAAACGCAGAUGAAGCUGAUAAUAUUGUGUGGUCUUGGAAAUAUUGGGAUCAAGAAGCGGCGAAAACACUGAGAGAUGAACUUCAAGACAGCUAUUAUGAUCAAUUCGGUAAUGAUGAAUAGCAAUGAACUGCAUGACUUUUGCGUACUGCUGCUUGACGCAAAUAAAAAAUAACGAACAUUA